AUGCUUUGCUUGUAUGUUGAUGACAUACUGAUUUUUGGAACAAAUCUGAAUGUUAUUAAGGAGGUCAAGGAUUUCCUAUCUCGCUGUUUUGAGAUGAAAGAUUUAGGAGUGGCUGAUGUCAUUCUGAACAUCAAGUUGUUGAGAGAUGAUGAUGGUGGGAUUACAUUGCUUCAAUCUCACUAUGUGGAAAAGAUCUUGAGUCGCUUUGGCUAUAGUGACUGCAAGCCCUCUCCAACACCAUAUGAUGCUAGCGUGCUGCUUCGAAAGAAUCGAAGAAUUGCUAGAGAUCAAUUGAAGUAUUCUCAGAUUAUUGGCUCGCUUAUGUACUUAGCCAGUGCUACAAGACCUGACAUCUCUUUUGCUGUUAGCAAGCUGAGCCGGUUUGUCUCAAAACCGGGAGAUGUGCAUUGGAAAGCUCUAGAGAGAGUUUUGCGUUAUUUAAAAGGCACUGUAAACUAUGGAAUUCACUACACUGGGCACCCAAAGGUGCUUGAAGGGUAUAGUGACUCAAACUGGAUCUCAGAUGCUGAUGAGAUAAAGGCCACGAGCGGAUAUGUGUUCACUCAUGGAGGUGGCGCUGUUUCUUGGAAGUCUUGCAAGCAGACCAUCUUAACGAGGUCAACUAUGGAAGCAUAA
Molecule: ribosomal RNA, 636 nt
Filed under: Triticum aestivum (bread wheat)
Lineage: Eukaryota; Viridiplantae; Streptophyta; Magnoliopsida; Poales; Poaceae
Description: partial small subunit ribosomal RNA
Source: RNAcentral